Molecule: non-coding RNA, 590 nt
Organism: Leptonychotes weddellii (Weddell seal)
Lineage: Eukaryota; Metazoa; Chordata; Mammalia; Carnivora; Phocidae
Source: RefSeq, a predicted model, not a curated record
CCAAUGUGGAGUUCGAUCCCAGGACCUUGAUAUCAUGACCUGAGCCGAAGGCAGACACUUAACCAACUGAGCUACAGAUCUUGCAGAUCUUAGGAAAACUAAAAAAGACGGCCACUGCAGUUCACUAUGCCGGAAAGCCGAUGGAGAUCUGGAGGGAGAGACUGUGUCUUGUCUGGAGGGUCCUCUGAAUCUCCUGUGUACCCUAAGGAAUCCGACUUUGGCAGAGGAGAUCCAGGAACAGCAGGAAGAGAGAGCUGAUAACAAAUAACUUCUUAUUUCCACCAUAGCAAAUAUGAACUGCUUUGCCUGGCUUCCAAGCACUCCACCCACCGUACCACCUCCCCUGACCUCAUUUCCUAUGGGGUAGAAUGGAAGGAGAAUGGCCCAGAAGCCAAGACAGCCCUCGAUUUGAAUUUUGGCCUCAGCACUCAUUAGCUGUGUGAGUUUAGCUUCGAGUCCAUAAAACGGUGGUAAUAGUAACCCCCUUAUCCUUGAGUUGCAGUGAGGUCCGAUGAGGUUAUAUUUGUGAAGCACUUAGCGUAGUGCCUGGCACAUCAUAGGCCCUAAAUAAAUGUCGGCCUUUGUCAUGA